This 1704-nucleotide ribosomal RNA is filed under the name Escherichia coli. RNAcentral's name for it is "partial 23S ribosomal RNA". It matches the Rfam family "Bacterial large subunit ribosomal RNA", at positions 419 to 2108 of the family's 2925-position model. Lineage: Bacteria; Pseudomonadati; Pseudomonadota; Gammaproteobacteria; Enterobacterales; Enterobacteriaceae. The record is from RNAcentral.
GGGACACGUGGUAUCCUGUCUGAAUAUGGGGGGACCAUCCUCCAAGGCUAAAUACUCCUGACUGACCGAUAGUGAACCAGUACCGUGAGGGAAAGGCGAAAAGAACCCCGGCGAGGGGAGUGAAAAAGAACCUGAAACCGUGUACGUACAAGCAGUGGGAGCACGCUUAGGCGUGUGACUGCGUACCUUUUGUAUAAUGGGUCAGCGACUUAUAUUCUGUAGCAAGGUUAACCGAAUAGGGGAGCCGAAGGGAAACCGAGUCUUAACUGGGCGUUAAGUUGCAGGGUAUAGACCCGAAACCCGGUGAUCUAGCCAUGGGCAGGUUGAAGGUUGGGUAACACUAACUGGAGGACCGAACCGACUAAUGUUGAAAAAUUAGCGGAUGACUUGUGGCUGGGGGUGAAAGGCCAAUCAAACCGGGAGAUAGCUGGUUCUCCCCGAAAGCUAUUUAGGUAGCGCCUCGUGAAUUCAUCUCCGGGGGUAGAGCACUGUUUCGGCAAGGGGGUCAUCCCGACUUACCAACCCGAUGCAAACUGCGAAUACCGGAGAAUGUUAUCACGGGAGACACACGGCGGGUGCUAACGUCCGUCGUGAAGAGGGAAACAACCCAGACCGCCAGCUAAGGUCCCAAAGUCAUGGUUAAGUGGGAAACGAUGUGGGAAGGCCCAGACAGCCAGGAUGUUGGCUUAGAAGCAGCCAUCAUUUAAAGAAAGCGUAAUAGCUCACUGGUCGAGUCGGCCUGCGCGGAAGAUGUAACGGGGCUAAACCAUGCACCGAAGCUGCGGCAGCGACGCUUAUGCGUUGUUGGGUAGGGGAGCGUUCUGUAAGCCUGCGAAGGUGUGCUGUGAGGCAUGCUGGAGGUAUCAGAAGUGCGAAUGCUGACAUAAGUAACGAUAAAGCGGGUGAAAAGCCCGCUCGCCGGAAGACCAAGGGUUCCUGUCCAACGUUAAUCGGGGCAGGGUGAGUCGACCCCUAAGGCGAGGCCGAAAGGCGUAGUCGAUGGGAAACAGGUUAAUAUUCCUGUACUUGGUGUUACUGCGAAGGGGGGACGGAGAAGGCUAUGUUGGCCGGGCGACGGUUGUCCCGGUUUAAGCGUGUAGGCUGGUUUUCCAGGCAAAUCCGGAAAACUAAGGCUGAGGCGUGAUGACGAGGCACUACGGUGCUGAAGCAACAAAUGCCCUGCUUCCAGGAAAAGCCUCUAAGCAUCAGGUAACAUCAAAUCGUACCCCAAACCGACACAGGUGGUCAGGUAGAGAAUACCAAGGCGCUUGAGAGAACUCGGGUGAAGGAACUAGGCAAAAUGGUGCCGUAACUUCGGGAGAAGGCACGCUGAUAUGUAGGUGAAGUCCCUCGCGGAUGGAGCUGAAAUCAGUCGAAGAUACCAGCUGGCUGCAACUGUUUAUUAAAAACACAGCACUGUGCAAACACGAAAGUGGACGUAUACGGUGUGACGCCUGCCCGGUGCCGGAAGGUUAAUUGAUGGGGUUAGCGCAAGCGAAGCUCUUGAUCGAAGCCCCGGUAAACGGCGGCCGUAACUAUAACGGUCCUAAGGUAGCGAAAUUCCUUGUCGGGUAAGUUCCGACCUGCACGAAUGGCGUAAUGAUGGCCAGGCUGUCUCCACCCGAGACUCAGUGAAAUUGAACUCGCUGUGAAGAUGCAGUGUACCCGCGGCAAGACGGAAAGACCCCGUGAACCUUUACUAUA